AUUGAACGCUGGCGGCAGGCCUAACACAUGCAAGUCGGACGGUAGCACAGAGAGCUUGCUCUCGGGUGACGAGUGGCGGACGGGUGAGUAAUGUCUGGGGAUCUGCCCGAUAGAGGGGGAUAACCACUGGAAACGGUGGCUAAUACCGCAUAACGUCGCAAGACCAAAGAGGGGGACCUUCGGGCCUCUCACUAUCGGAUGAACCCAGAUGGGAUUAGCUAGUAGGCGGGGUAACGGCCCACCUAGGCGACGAUCCCUAGCUGGUCUGAGAGGAUGACCAGCCACACUGGAACUGAGACACGGUCCAGACUCCUACGGGAGGCAGCAGUGGGGAAUAUUGCACAAUGGGCGCAAGCCUGAUGCAGCCAUGCCGCGUGUAUGAAGAAGGCCUUCGGGUUGUAAAGUACUUUCAGCGGGGAGGAAGGCGAUGUGGUUAAUAACCGCAUUGAUUGACGUUACCCGCAGAAGAAGCACCGGCUAACUCCGUGCCAGCCGCCGUAAUAC
RNAcentral lists this ribosomal RNA (504 nucleotides) under uncultured bacterium. Its description in RNAcentral is "partial 16S ribosomal RNA". It matches the Rfam family "Bacterial small subunit ribosomal RNA", at positions 30 to 526 of the family's 1533-position model. The record is from RNAcentral.